RNAcentral lists this long non-coding RNA (526 nucleotides) under Rhagoletis pomonella (apple maggot). RNAcentral describes it as "uncharacterized LOC118747064". The record is from RNAcentral. Lineage: Eukaryota; Metazoa; Arthropoda; Insecta; Diptera; Tephritidae.
CCGCUGCAAUUCCGUCUGUGGUUCACUGCCACUGGCCUUGCUUUUUCAACGAUAUAACUGUUUUCUUGUGAUUUUUGCUGCUGCAAUCCCGUCUGUGGUUCACUGCCACUGGCCCUGCUUUUCCAACGAUAUAACUGUUUUUUUGGUAACUUCUACCGCUAAGACUUUGUUGCUUUUUCCCUUUUCCCUAAAAACAUAAUAGUGCUACAAAGCUCAAUAACAAUAUGGAAACAAAUGUUAAUAAGCCACAAUAAUAUUGACAAUAAAUAAGAUUUCACUACGAUUGAAUUUUCUAUUAGUAACAGGGUAGUUAUAGUGAAUGUUUUAUUCGAUAACUAAAACUAUAUUUGAUGUUUGUAGCGAUAAAAAUAUGCCUAAAUCAGCCAAAUACCCUAUGUGGGUCGGCUGAAUCAGUAAAACGUGACAGUAGUUGACUUUUGAGGUUAAUAUAUCGGUCUUGAGUUGGUAAGGUUUUUAAAACAUCCGCAGCUUCCUUUAAAGCAUCGCUGCUAAUUGCUGAGAGGAC